This is a long non-coding RNA of Myodes glareolus (Bank vole), 536 nucleotides long. RefSeq lists it as uncharacterized. The record is from RefSeq and is a predicted model, not a curated record. NCBI's taxonomy places the organism in Eukaryota, Metazoa, Chordata, Mammalia, Rodentia, Cricetidae.
UCCCGUCCCUGUGGUCCCCGCCCGCGGCCGCUGCCCACGAGUCGUCCAUAAAAGGCAAGGAGCGCAGGUCGCGCCAAACUUAGUCAUGCGGCGGCGGCCGGCGGCUGCCCGCGCGACUUCCUCCGCCGACUUCCCGUUUCGAGAGCGGAGCCCGCAGGGGAUGCAAGUGCUGCUGGUAGAAGCUGGUGCCUCACAUGCUAGGGUCUCACUAUGCAUCCUUGGCUGGUUUGGAACAAACUAUGUAGACUAGACUCGCUUCAAAUUCACUUGCCUCUGGAGUGCUGGGAUGAUUCUCUCUCCACCUCGGGAGAGCUGGGGUGAAGAUGUUUGCAACCAUACUUUUGUUUUAUUUUCUUUCUCUAUUUUGAGACAGGGUUUCCGUAUGCAGCUCUAACUGGCCUAGAACUCCCUCUGUAGACCAAGCUGGCCUUAAACAUACAGAGAUAUGCCGGCCUAUGCCUCCUAAGUGCUGGGAUUAAAGGUCUGAUCCAUAAUGCAUGGCUUAUUUUCAUUUCUUAACCAUUUAUAAUAAUGAG